UAGGGAAUCUUCCGCAAUGGGCGAAAGCCUGACGGAGCAACGCCGCGUGAGUGAUGAAGGUCUUCGGAUCGUAAAACUCUGUUAUUAGGGAAGAACAAAUGUGUAAGUAACUAUGCACGUCUUGACGGUACCUAAUCAGAAAGCCACGGCUAACUACGUGCCAGCAGCCGCGGUAAUACGUAGGUGGCAAGCGUUAUCCGGAAUUAUUGGGCGUAAAGCGCGCGUAGGCGGUUUUUUAAGUCUGAUGUGAAAGCCCACGGCUCAACCGUGGAGGGUGAUUGGAAGCUGGAAAACUUGAGUGCAGGAGAGGAAAGUGGAAUUCCAUGUGUAGCGGUGAAAUGCGGAGAGAUAUGGAGGAAAAACAGUGGCGAAGGCGACUUUCUGGUCUGUAACUGACGCUGAUGUGCGAAAGCGUGGGGGUCAAACAGG
RNAcentral lists this ribosomal RNA (429 nucleotides) under Actinomycetes bacterium. Its description in RNAcentral is "Actinobacteria bacterium partial 16S ribosomal RNA". It matches the Rfam family "Bacterial small subunit ribosomal RNA", at positions 355 to 776 of the family's 1533-position model. Lineage: Bacteria; Bacillati; Actinomycetota; Actinomycetes. The record is from RNAcentral.